UACGGAGGGUGCAAGCGUUGUCCGGAAUUAUUGGGCGUAAAGCGCGCGCAGGCGGUCCUUUAAGUCUGAUGUGAAAGCCCACGGCUCAACCGUGGAGGGUCAUUGGAAACUGGGGGGACUUGAGUAUAGAAGAGAAGAGUGGAAUUCCACGUGUAGCGGUGAAAUGCGUAGAGAUGUGGAGGAACACCAGUGGCGAAGGCGACUCUUUGGUCUGUAACUGACGCUGAGGCGCGAAAGCGUGGGGAGCAAACAGG
This 254-nucleotide ribosomal RNA is filed under the name uncultured bacterium. Its description in RNAcentral is "partial 16S ribosomal RNA". It matches the Rfam family "Bacterial small subunit ribosomal RNA", at positions 524 to 776 of the family's 1533-position model. The record is from RNAcentral.